GGCAGUGAAAAUAGUCUUGCGGGACUAUUAGAGCCAACGGUGAGAUACCACUCUAGUAAAGAUAAAAUUCUAACUCUAUACCGUUAUCCGGAUAGAGAACAGUUUCAAGUGGGCAGUUUGACUGGGGCGGUCGCCUCCUAAAAGGUAACGGAGGCGUGCAAAGGUUCCCUCAGGCUGGUUGGACAUCAGUCGAAGAGUGUAAAGGCAUAAGGGAGCCUGACUGCGAGACCCACAAGUCGAGCAGAGACGAAAGUCGGCCUU
Molecule: ribosomal RNA, 261 nt
Filed under: uncultured eukaryote
Lineage: Eukaryota
Description: partial large subunit ribosomal RNA
Rfam family: Bacterial large subunit ribosomal RNA
Source: RNAcentral